Leptonychotes weddellii (Weddell seal) is the source of this 107-nucleotide small nuclear RNA. NCBI's taxonomy places the organism in Eukaryota, Metazoa, Chordata, Mammalia, Carnivora, Phocidae. The record is from RefSeq and is a predicted model, not a curated record.
GUGCUCGCUGAGGCAGCACAUACACUAAAAGGGGAACCAUACAGAGAAGAUGAGCAUGGCCUCUGUGUGAGGCUGACAUGCAAAUUCGUGAAGCCUUCCACAUUUGG